This is a non-coding RNA of Urocitellus parryii (Arctic ground squirrel), 614 nucleotides long. The record is from RefSeq and is a predicted model, not a curated record. Lineage: Eukaryota; Metazoa; Chordata; Mammalia; Rodentia; Sciuridae.
AUUUCCAGUGUUUUUUCCUAAACAGAUUAUGAAGCGAUUGUGAAGCUAUCAGACGGCUUUAAUGGAGCAGACCUGAGAAAUGUUUGCACUGAAGCAGGUAUGUUUGCAAUUCGUGCUGAUCAUGAUUUUGUAGUUCAAGAAGACUUCAUGAAAGCAGUCAGAAAAGUGGCUGAUUCUAAGAAGCUAGAAUCUAAAUUGGACUACAAACCUGUGUAAUUUUAUUGUAAGGUUUUGGAUGGCUGCAUGACAGACAUUGACUUAAAGUAAAAAUAAAGUUAAGGAAAAUAAUGUAYGUAUUGGCAAUGAUCUCAUUAAAUGUGAAUGAAUAAAAUAUGUAUGAGUAACAUAAAAAUUAGUAUGUAAUUCAGUAAUUCAACUUUUAAAAUUGACACAGAAGAAAUUUGUAUGUUUGUUAAUGUUGCAUUUAUUGCAGCAAAAGUUACAAAAGAAGAGUGUUGAAGCUUUUCAUAUUUGCCAUGUGAGCAUUUUGUAAAACACUGAAAAAUAGUUUGAGAUAGUAGUACAAGAGAGCAUUUCUUAAGACUUAUUUUAUAUCAUUUGUUUUCCUCAUUCUAACAAAGUUUAAUAAAAUCUGUUUGAUUUAGUUCUACCUA